UUAAGUUCAGCGGGUAUUCCUACCUGAUCCGAGGUCAACCAACUAAAAAGUAUAGGUUUAUGGCAACGCCGCGGCCACAACAAAAGCGAGAAAGAAAUCUACUACGCUUAGAGUGUACCGUAACCCUGCCACUGACUUUGAGGAGUUACCGUACGGUAAUGCUCCCAACGCUAAGCAACUAGGCUUAAUGGACUUAAUGA
RNAcentral lists this unclassified non-coding RNA (200 nucleotides) under Ascomycota sp. RNAcentral describes it as "partial internal transcribed spacer 2". The record is from RNAcentral. Lineage: Eukaryota; Fungi; Ascomycota.